Molecule: ribosomal RNA, 1413 nt
Filed under: Plasmodium yoelii killicki
Lineage: Eukaryota; Apicomplexa; Aconoidasida; Haemosporida; Plasmodiidae
Description: bacterial SSU rRNA
Rfam family: Bacterial small subunit ribosomal RNA
Source: RNAcentral
CGAGUUUGAUCCUAGCUCAGAAUGAACGCUAGAAAUAUACAUUACACAUGCAAAUUUAUGAUAAUAUCAUAGUGAAUAGGUGAGGAUAUAUAAAUUUUUAAUUUUAAAUAGAUUAUAAUAUAUAAUAAUCUAUAAGCGCAUUUAUUUAUAUAAUUGUACUAUAUUAAAAAUUAUUAUUGUUUAAAAUAAAAUUUAUAUUUGAUUAACUAGUUGGUAAAAUAAAAGCUUACCAAGGUUAUGAUCAAAAAUUGGUUUUAAAGAAUGUACAAUCACAUUAGGAUUGAAAUAAAGCCUAAAUUUUUUUUUAAAUCAGCAGUGAGGAAUAUUUUACAAUGAGCGUAAGCUUGAUAAAGUAAUAUUUCUUAAAGGAUGACAGUAUAUUUUUAUAUUGUAAACUUUAUGUUUUAUUUUUAAAUAUUGAUAAAAAUAAAAUAUUAGUAUUUGCUAAUUUCUGUGCCAGCAGCAGCGGUAAUACAGAAAAUACAAGCGUUAUUCACUUUAUUUGGCGUAAAGCGUUUUAAGGUUUUAUAUUAAUUUUAUUUUAAAAUAUUUAAUUUAAAUUUAAAUAAAAAAUAAAUAAUAAUAUAAUAAGAGUAUUAUAAAAGUAUUAAGAAUUUUUUGAGAAGUAGUGAAAUGCAAUGAUACAAAAAAGAAUACCAAAGGCGAAGGCAUAAUACUAUAUAAUAACUGACACUUAUAAACGAAAGCUAAGGUAGCAAAUAGGAUUAGAUACCCUAGUAGUCUUAGCUGUAAACUAUGAAUAUUUUAUAUUUAUAUAUUAAUAUAAAUAUAAUAACUAACGUAAUAAAUAUUCCGCCUGAGUAGUAUAUUCGCAAGAACGAAAUUCAAAGGAAUUGACGGGAGCUUAUACAAGUGGUGGAACAUGUGGCUUAAUUCGAUGCAACACGAUAAACCUUACCAAAAUUUAACAAUAUUUAUAUUAUUAAGGAAUUAAUAAUUUAAUAAAAUAUAUAGGUAGUGCAUGGCUGUCGUCAGUUCGUGCUGUGAAGUAUUAAUUUAAGUAUUAUAACGAACGUAACCUUUUAUAAAAAAAUUUUUUAUAAUAUAUUUAUCAAAUAUAUAAAAAAGACUACGUCAAGUCAUUAUGCUCCUUAUAUUUUGGGCUGCUCACGUGUUACAUAAAAUAUAACAAUAUUUUAUUAUAUGAAAAUAUAAUAUAUUUAAAUAUAUUUAUAGUUCUGAUUAUAAAUUGAAACUCAUUUAUAUGAGGAUGGAAUCACUAGUAAUCGCUAAUAAGAAAUAUAGCGGUGAAUAAGUUCUUAAGCUUUGUACACACCGCCCGUCACAUCUGGAAAAUAUUAUAUUAUAUAAAAAUUAUUGUAAAAUAAUAAUAUAUAAUUAUAUAAUUUAGAUGAAGUCGUAACAAGGUAGCCGUACUGGAAGGUGCGGCUG